RNAcentral lists this ribosomal RNA (1356 nucleotides) under Triticum aestivum (bread wheat). RNAcentral describes it as "partial small subunit ribosomal RNA". Lineage: Eukaryota; Viridiplantae; Streptophyta; Magnoliopsida; Poales; Poaceae. The record is from RNAcentral.
AUGGCGACUGACGCCGACCUCGCCUCUCUCGACGACGCCCCCGCCUCUUCCGCCGCUCGCUUCCACCCCAAGGUAAGGGGCAAGGCCAAGGCCAAGGCGAAGACGAAGGCGAAGCCCAAGGCCAAGUCCGGACCGGGGGGUGAACCCCACGUGGCGGAGGGUGGCGUGGACGCGACGGAGACGGGCAUGGCGGGUGCUAGCGAGGGCGCGGAUGAGAUGGAUCCUGAGGGCGAGGACUUCGUGGUGCGGGAGAUGGACGUGUAUUUCACGCCCAAGCCCUUCGGCAAGGACACCAAGCUCUACAUCGCGCAGUACCCGCUGAGGCCAUGCUGGCGCCCCUACGAGCUCGGUGAAGUGUGCAAGGAGGUUCGCGUGAGGCCGGAGAGCUCAGAGGUCGAACUGGAUUUGGAGAUCGAUACAGAGAGUGACAACUACGACCCGGAGGUUUCUGCAUCUUUCGGGCUGACAGAGCAGACCUUACCAUCAUCGGAAGCAGCAGCUGAUGUGGCCGGUUAUGCUGUCGGGGUUCUUCGAGGCAACUUGGUCCAUCUGAAUCAUCUUGAUGCAGUUCUCCAACUGCGACCGUCGAUGUCGCAUCUCAUUUCCGGGGCAUCACGUACCACCAGGCAGCCUUUACAAGAGGUGGAAACAAAUGGUGGCCAGGCUGUUCCAUCAGUUAAGGGAGAUGAGCGCUCAGAGGGUUCCAACAAGGACUCAAUUAAAGCACCAGAGCCAUGGAUUUCUCUCACUUACGAACCAGCUGGGAGUGAUGUUGCAAGCAGGUACUAUGCUGACAUGAUGGCAAAUGAGGGCAUGCCCAUGGAUUUCACAAUGAGCGCACAAGAUUAUGCAAUGUCAUUGUGUCCUGGAGGGCCAGAAGGCAGCAAUCAUAUUAACAGAUGCGAGCUGUUACGCAAGAUGCUUUUGCUGCCACUGGAUGUGCGCCUCAAGAAAUGGUUUACUGAGGUGUCGCAAGUGAACCGCUUUGAUGCUCUAACGCAUCUUGCUCCAGACUGUUCGGAGGAAGACCUUCUGAAAAUUCUUCCAGCGUACGCAGAUUUGGUGCGUGGUUUAUGGGUCUGCAAAAGCUCUUUGCUGUAUGAUGAUGGACUUGCUUCCAAAAGGGAUAGAAUUCUGCUCGGAUUUACAAAAGGGGAGUCCAUACCUGUGACAUAUGUAGAGAGACUGAUCAGAGAUGAGCGAACGAGGAACAUGAUAUUGAACCCACUGGGUAAAAGAAGGGAGAAGCUUCAAGACUACAAGUUUAUUGUACCAGCAGAUUCAUCAUUCAUAAGACGUUAUUCCCAUAUAGUCAAGGAACAGGAAAAUGCUUGGUCAGUCCGCCUAAGAGCCUGA